UCCGGUUUGUCACCGGCAGUCUCCUAUGAGUCCCCGACAUUACUCGCUGGCAACUAAGGACAGGGGUUGCGCUCGUUGCGCCACUUAAGGCAACACCUCACGGCACGAGUUGACGACAGCCAUGCAGCACCUGUGCAGGCUCCCGAAGGAGCACCGGCUUUCACCGGCUUCACCCUGCAUGUCAAGCCCUGGUAAGGUUCUUCGCGUUGCGUCGAAUUAAGCCACAUGCUCCGCCGCUUGUGCGGGUCCCCGUCAAUUCCUUUGAGUUUUAACCUUGCGGCCGUACUCCCCAGGCGGUCAACUUCACGCGUUAGCUUCGUUACCAAGGGAAUCAAUCCCCCGACAACCAGUUGACAUAGUUUAGGGCGUGGACUAC
This 376-nucleotide unclassified non-coding RNA is filed under the name uncultured bacterium. RNAcentral's name for it is "contains 16S-23S intergenic spacer region". The record is from RNAcentral.